GUAAAACAUGGUCAGAAGUGAGGAGGACACUGCUGCCACCCCCAGCUCCACAUAGCUCUGUCUCAACAUCUGGCUGACACAGGAAUACUGAGUCUGGCUGCUGAAACUGGCUCUAGAGCCUCACAUCUUUGUGUCCUUGCUGUCAGCAGAAGUGACGGCAGGAAGAUGGUCUCUACCCCCCAAAUCUCUGCUGGGGCACCUAAUUGUCAGACCUUGGGUUAUAGUCAUAACUCUAGCUACAAAGGAGUCUUGGAAAUGUAGUAUUUUUUCUUUCCAGCCUCUACAAAAGCACCCUGUAGGGAAGUAGAGGGAGCCAGCUGUAUCAGUUGGCUCCCUCUCUCUCUCUCUCUCUAAAUAUAUGUUUUAUUUAUUUUUAGAGAGAUAGGAAGGGAGAGGGAUAGAGAGAAGCAUCAAUGAGACUGGAACAUCAUCAAUCAGCUGACUCCUGCAUGCCCCAGUAGGGAUCAAGUCCACCACUCGGAUAUGUGCCCUGACUGGGAAUCAAACCGUGACCUUCUGGUUCAUAGGUCGACACUCAAACCCUGAGCUACUCCUGCUGGGCUAAUUUUUAAUGAGGUUGAACUCCUCAAGAGAAGAUUGCCAAGCCUGCAGCCUAGAACCAGAUAAGGAACCCAAGGACCACAGCAAAGAAACGGGUCUGUGCCCUGGCCGGAUGGCUCAAAGACGGCAUCUGAAACCCCUUCCCACGUUACCUUUGACAAACUUUCCUUCAUGCCAGGGAUGGAAAUGUAACAUUAAAAUGAUACAUGCAAUGUAUGGCUAGGCGUGUUCCAAGCAUGUUAGGGAACUGGGCAUGCUCCCAGAACCCUCCACCCUUCCUUGAGCCUGCCUAACUACUCCCCGCUCCCAAACCCUUUAAGAUUUUCCUAGGGAAGGAAGGGAAUAGAGGUGGAAGAGGGCCUAGAGGAGAUUAAUGGUGAUGAUAAAAAUAAAAACAAUUAAAUAAAA
This is a long non-coding RNA of Pipistrellus kuhlii (Kuhl's pipistrelle), 969 nucleotides long. RefSeq lists it as uncharacterized. NCBI's taxonomy places the organism in Eukaryota, Metazoa, Chordata, Mammalia, Chiroptera, Vespertilionidae. The transcript is spliced from 2 exons. The record is from RefSeq and is a predicted model, not a curated record.